This 234-nucleotide ribosomal RNA is filed under the name Triticum aestivum (bread wheat). RNAcentral's name for it is "partial small subunit ribosomal RNA". The record is from RNAcentral. Lineage: Eukaryota; Viridiplantae; Streptophyta; Magnoliopsida; Poales; Poaceae.
AUGGAUCACAACCCGGAGGUGCUUUGCUGGAAUGUGCCGGGACUCGAGAAUCCUGCAAACAGGAAGGCGGUUAGGGCAUUCGUGGAGGCGGUGAAAGUCAAUUUGGUGUGCUUCCAAGAGACUAAACUCCAUGUAAUCGAUCAAUAUGAUGUGAUGCAAUGUGUAGGACCAUCUUUUGAUGGGUUUUCUUACUUGUCGGUGGCGGACACUCGUGGUGGUGUGUUGUUGGCCUAG